This 348-nucleotide ribosomal RNA is filed under the name uncultured bacterium. RNAcentral's name for it is "partial 16S ribosomal RNA". It matches the Rfam family "Bacterial small subunit ribosomal RNA", at positions 338 to 683 of the family's 1533-position model. The record is from RNAcentral.
CCUACGGGUGGCAGCAGUGAGGAAUAUUGGUCAAUGGGCGCGAGCCUGAACCAGCCAAGUAGCGUGAAGGAUGACUGCCCUACGGGUUGUAAACUUCUUUUAUAAAGGAAUAAAGUGAGGCACGUGUGCCUUUUUGUAUGUACUGUAUGAAUAAGGAUCGGCUAACUCCGUGCCAGCAGCCUCGGUAAUACGGAGGAUCCGAGCGUUAUCCGGAUUUAUUGGGUUUAAAGGGAGCGUAGAGGGGUUGUUAAGUCCGUUGUGAAAGUUGGCGGCUCAACCGUAAAAUUGCAAUUGUUACUGGCAGCCUUGAGUACAGUUGAGGUCGGCGGAAUUCGUGGUGUAGCGGUG